RNAcentral lists this non-coding RNA (24 nucleotides) under Arabidopsis thaliana (thale cress). Lineage: Eukaryota; Viridiplantae; Streptophyta; Magnoliopsida; Brassicales; Brassicaceae. The record is from RNAcentral.
ACAAAUCAACAAAGGCCACGAGAC